RNAcentral lists this ribosomal RNA (504 nucleotides) under uncultured bacterium. Its description in RNAcentral is "bacterial SSU rRNA". It matches the Rfam family "Bacterial small subunit ribosomal RNA", at positions 9 to 526 of the family's 1533-position model. The record is from RNAcentral.
GAGUUUGAUCCUGGCUCAGGACGAACGCUGGCGGCGCGCCUAACACAUGCAAGUCGAACGAGAGAGAAGGAGCUUGCUCUUCAAAUCGAGUGGCGAACGGGUGAGUAACGCGUGAGGAACCUGCCUCAAAGAGGGGGACAACAGUUGGAAACGACUGCUAAUACCGCAUAAGCCCACGGCUCGGCAUCGACCAGAGGAAAAAGGAGCAAUCCGCUUUGAGAUGGCCUCGCGUCCGAUUAGCUGGUUGGUGAGGUAACGGCCCACCAAGGCGACGAUCGGUAGCCGGACUGAGAGGUUGAACGGCCACAUUGGGACUGAGACACGGCCCAGACUCCUACGGGAGGCAGCAGUGGGGAAUAUUGCACAAUGGGGGAAACCCUGAUGCAGCGACGCCGCGUGGAGGAAGAAGGUCUUCGGAUUGUAAACUCCUGUUGUUGAGGAAGAUAAUGACGGUACUCAACAAGGAAGUGACGGCUAACUACGUGCCAGCCGCCGCGGUAAUAC